GCGGAAGGGUGAUGCUGAGUGGCGUCAUCGGCUCAAUAAUUCUUGGGAAUGGGAUGCAAUGGGAAAAGGUGAAGGUAGAAUGCAUUUUGACUCACGAAAAAUGGAUAAUAGGGAACCAACUCCAGUUAGUGGCCAGGUGCUGCGAACCCAAUCCGAGCGAUUUGUACAAGCGCACUGAGGCAUGGUUUUGGAAUAGCGAACCGAACAAGAUAGAGACACCGACUGCUCGAGAAAUCAAACCCUUCAGAAAAGGUUGAAUAGUUCAGCUGCCUACGAGUGACAAGUGCCAAUCGUUUUGCUCCUUGCAGAACUGAUUUAAUGUGGCAAUGCAGGUCUCAAACCAAGUUCCACAGAAUUCAACAGCAUUUGUUCGGUUCAAUUUAGGACUAGAUUUACCCUAUGUAAAAGCUAGCUUAUGUUUUUCAAGGUGUGAGAUGUGCUGCUAUUUGCUCCCAAUGUUGUCCAUCA
This 468-nucleotide long non-coding RNA is filed under the name Sorghum bicolor (sorghum). RNAcentral describes it as "long non-coding RNA (SBIC_LNC016734)". Lineage: Eukaryota; Viridiplantae; Streptophyta; Magnoliopsida; Poales; Poaceae. The record is from RNAcentral.